AAAUUGAAGAGUUUGAUCAUGGCUCAGAUUGAACGCUGGCGGCAGGCCUAACACAUGCAAGUCGAACGGUAACAGGAAGCAGCUUGCUGCUUCGCUGACGAGUGGCGGACGGGUGAGUAAUGUCUGGGAAACUGCCUGAUGGAGGGGGAUAACUACUGGAAACGGUGGCUAAUACCGCAUAACGUCGCAAGACCAAAGAGGGGGACCUUCGGGCCUCUUGCCAUCAGAUGUGCCCAGAUGGGAUUAGCUAGUUGGUGAGGUAACGGC
Molecule: ribosomal RNA, 267 nt
Filed under: Salmonella enterica
Lineage: Bacteria; Pseudomonadati; Pseudomonadota; Gammaproteobacteria; Enterobacterales; Enterobacteriaceae
Also listed under: 3 other names
Description: partial 16S ribosomal RNA
Rfam family: Bacterial small subunit ribosomal RNA
Source: RNAcentral